RNAcentral lists this ribosomal RNA (464 nucleotides) under uncultured bacterium. Its description in RNAcentral is "partial 16S ribosomal RNA". It matches the Rfam family "Bacterial small subunit ribosomal RNA", at positions 339 to 795 of the family's 1533-position model. The record is from RNAcentral.
CUACGGGCUGCAGCAGUGGGGAAUAUUGGACAAUGGGGGAAACCCUGAUCCAGCAAUGCCGCGUGUGUGAAGAAGGCCUGCGGGUUGUAAAGCACUUUCGGUUGGGAGGACUGCUUCUAGCACUAAUAUUGUUGGAAGUUGACGUUACCUUCAGAAGAAGCACCGGCUAACUCCGUGCCAGCAGCCGCGGUAAUACGGAGGGUGCAAGCGUAAUCGGAAUUACUGGGCGUAAAGCGCGCGUAGGCGGCUAAAUCAGUCGGGUGUGAAAGCCCCGGGCUUAACCUGGGAACUGCAUCCGAUACUGUCUAGCUUGAGUACAGGAGAGGAGAGUGGAAUUCCACAUGUAGCGGUGAAAUGCGUAGAUAUGUGGAGGAACACCAAUGGCGAAGGCAGCUCUCUGGCCUGAUACUGACGCUGAGGUGCGAAAGCGUGGGGAGCAAACAGGAUUAGAUACCCCUGUAGUC